CGCAGCAACGCGCGUGAGGGAUGAAGGCUUUCGGGUCGUAAACCUCUGUCGGAAGGGAAGAACGGGCAUUGGUCAAUAGGCCUUUGUUUUGACGGUACCUUUAGAGGAAGCACCGGCUAACUCCGUGCCAGCAGCCGCGGUAAUACGGAGGGUGCAAGCGUUAUUCGGAAUUACUGGCGUAAAGCGCACGUAGGCGGCCUUGUAAGUCAGGGGUGAAAUCCCACGGCUCAACCGUGGAACUGCCUUUGAAACUGCAGGGCUUGAAUCCUGGAGAGGGUGGCGGAAUUCCUGGUGUAGGAGUGAAAUCCGUAGAUAUCAGGAGGAACACCGGUGGCGAAGGCGGCCACCUGGACAGGUAUUGACGCUGAGGUGCGAAAGUGUGGGGAGCAAACCGGAUUAGAUACCCUGGUAGUCCACACCGUAAACGAUGGAUACUAGGUGUCGGGGACUUGAUCUUCGGUGCCGUACGUAACGCGUUAAGUAUCCCGCCUGGGAGUACG
RNAcentral lists this ribosomal RNA (500 nucleotides) under Desulfomicrobium apsheronum. Its description in RNAcentral is "bacterial SSU rRNA". It matches the Rfam family "Bacterial small subunit ribosomal RNA", at positions 387 to 884 of the family's 1533-position model. Lineage: Bacteria; Pseudomonadati; Thermodesulfobacteriota; Desulfovibrionia; Desulfovibrionales; Desulfomicrobiaceae. The record is from RNAcentral.